UUCUGGCGCCCAGUGCCAAACACUUAGUUGGCCGCUGACGGUACUUUUCUCCCCCUUUUUCCCUUCUUCACGCGGACUGAUAGGAGCUAUUUAAAUCAGCCACGCAGCGAAUCACACGCGUCUCCCCGCGCUGCGCUCCGCUCUCCCUCCUGCGCCUCCAGUGACCGGAGAGGCGCAAAACCCUCACCGAGCGAUGUCCCCCGUUAUUGCCACUGACUGGAGUAAAGUACUUGUUUCUUCACAGGCAAUCCUCAGAGUGGCUCCGCGGGGGUGAGGGCAAAGGGAUAAGACUCUCGGAGAGGGGAUGGAGGAACAAGGGAGGGCACUAAACGGGUUGGGGCAGGGAUUUGGAAGAUCAUUGGCUGCGAUCUGGUGCAUUUGACCUCAAAUGGAGCCAAUAAGCUGUCUGGGUAUGAGGGACUGUAUGCACGCAAACACACACACACACUUGGGUGCAAAAAGUCAGUCAUGAAGGGAGUGUACACAUCGCUCUCAGCUAAGUAGAAGUUUCACUCAUCUCUCAUGUUCUCGGUCUCUGUCCAUGUCAUUCUUCAUCACUCUACUUUCACAUUAACCAUCAGUUAGUCUUUGUCUCUCACACACACACACACACACACACCUCCACAUCAGCUAUCAGUUUGUCCGACAGAUACAUAAAUGUACAUCUUCACAUUCACGCAGAGACCAACUCCUUCACAUCACACGUCAACUCACCCAAGAAUCACACGCACACACAAUGCAUCACACAUCAGUUAUAUCUUUUAGGCUGAAGGAGAAAGGGGUUUGUUGGCAGCGGGGGUUGAAGGGGGGGUUGACAGGAGAGAAGAGGAAGUACACAGGAAGUACAUUAGUUAUCACUCCCAUGUCUUCUCCACCUUUUCACGUCUUAUCACCACCGGACGUCUAAGAUCCCCGCCAAGCUGCUUCUCCUUCUCAUCACUACCCUUCUCUCUCUCUCUCUCUCCCUCUCUCCCUCUCUCCCUCUCUCUCUCUCUCUCUCUCACACAAACACACAGACACUUACAUCUGAAAAUGACUUCCGCGCUCCACUUUCGUGUCGGGCCCUGGGAUCUAGAUGACACUUGGCAUGCCGCAGAAGCCGCAAGACAACUGGAUGAAAUAUUUAAAUGAAAGACGGCAGGGGUAGAAGAGGUGAAGAAAAGAAGGAAGGGGGGAAAAGAGGAAGAGAAAUGAACACAGGAGAGAGGACAAGGGAAGGAGAGAGGGGCGAUAUUCAGAUGGCGAGCAGAAUAUGAAGAAUUUCUCGGCAGAGAGGUGGGCUGUGUGACAAGAAGUGCAGACGAAUUGGCUUACACCUUAGAAGUAGCCUUAAGAGACAUAUUCCAAUAUAGUAUGAGAUCCCAUCAGUUUAUCUUGGGAUCAUCAGCAAGUCUCAGUAUGAACCAAAGUACUUUCAACAGCGUGCCAGCUCAGCUGCUUGGAGGAGGGCAAUGAAUCUAACAUAUGACCAAAUGAAAUGUAACUUUGCUAUCAUGAUUUUUGCGACUUUAGAAUUAGGUUCCAGCUGACUUUGUUAUAUUAUCAAGACUAAAUCCCUGUCCCAAUUGUUCUUCCUUGGCCCUACCCGUAGAUAUGAACUGCCCUUCGCUGGGAGUGUCCCCCUCCAACAGAGCCACAAAGGGGAGGGCUUGAAAAUCUUGCCCUAGGAAUUGUGGUACCACUCACUAUGUCAUCGGCAGCCAACAAAUGUUAUUACAGUGACAAACAAUUCAAUCAACUACAGUCAAGCCUUGCAGUAAAAACCUUAUAACACGAGGGGGACACUUUGCAAAAUUUGCAGCUUGACAAUGUUUCAAACUUCAUAUACUGGACAUGGGAGAAAAAAACGUUUCUCGUUACUCUCACUCAGGCUGUUUACAUGCUUGUUUUGACGGCGUGAACAGCAAUUUUCCUGAAACACUGUGAUUCAAUUACAUUUUCAUUAGCUACUGGAUUAAAACAAGAUAUUCAGUAUAUUUGUAUCGGUGCACCUAUCUUGCACUGAUGAUGUCAUUUGAAUAGUAUAGUAUUUAGGAAUGUGUAAUAAUGAAGUUCUGCAGAUAUAACCGCCUAGCUGAUCCCGAGUCAGUCACCCCAUUUGAUAGCAUCAAAUUACUAAUAAAAGAGCUAACUAAUCUGACACAUUGAUGCUUGAAUUUAAAUGAGUGGUGUAAAAAACUAUACCGUAAAAACAGAAACCUUCUUUUGGCAAAAUGGUUGGAUAUGUCCUUCCACUUGUUAGUUUGGGCUCAUCUGCUAACAUGGAGGAGGUAGGUUCAUGACCCAUACUGCAGUCAGCCAGCUGAGGGAGAUCAAGAUUUCUGGCAUCGUUUUUGUGGAUUUGUCAUAUCAUCUACCUUCAUAUACAGCCAUUGAGCUGUACUAACUGCUAUUGCUAAUAUGAUAACAUGCCUAACGACAGAGCUAAUAUGCUGCGAUUUAAAAUGUGAACUAACUUCAUAAUCUCUAUAUGCUAGUUUACUAACACUUGCUAUUAUACACCUAUAUUUUACACUAACUGUUGCAAUAAGAAAAGUCAGAUAAUCACUUAAAUAAUUACAUCCCCUCCAACAGGGCUCAUUAAUGAAUCUAUGCCAAAUUGUAAAGCAAACCUUCCAAUAUCUGUUGACAUAUUUCACACAUAAUCACAAAUGUCAACCUCACAGAAGAAGCCGAGGAAAAGUUUCAUUGAAUUAUAAAUCUAUUUAACUGAGUGGCCUAAAAACUCUAACCUGCUGGUGGAACUAGAUUAAAAAUCUAAGUAUGCCAACCCAAUGGUGGUGCUGGAGGUUCAACAAAAUAAGUAUUAUUUACCCACAAGGGACCAUGAACUUCUUAAAAAAACGCAUUGGCCAUCGACCCGAAAUAAAUAUUAAACGAUGGAUCAGUGUGAUCAUCUACAGAGGCGUCCCACUGGCAUGGCAAAAAAUGUGAAUUAACAUUUAGCGCAAGUUUAUUCAUUUAUUUAUUGAAUUGUUUAUCGUCUUAAGGGAGUAACGGUUCUAGGCUCUUCAGAAGUAAUUCUAUAUUUCACUUCAGUACAUUUCUAUACAUUUUGAGAAUUACACAGCUUAAGCCAGUGUUUGUAAGAAUUAUUUUAUAAAUGCUUUAUUUACAACUCAAUAUAGUAUUUAGUUAAGGCAAACUUUUAAUUAUAUCAGAGUGUAGGUUUCUAGUUAAAUGAGUGAACUGAUCCUAGUUGAACAGGAAUCAGACCAAAACCAAAACCUACAAGUUUUGUAGGUUUUGGACAAGUGGAACAGUAACAAAAAUCUUUUGUUAUCAACAUUUAUUAAACACGGCUGUGUAUGUAUUAAACCAGCAAUUUCCCUAUAAUAACUACAUUAUAUAUUAUAUUAUUAAACUAAUAAAACUAACAUUUUAUUUUAGACGUUAGGUAGAGGUGUGUUGAUUUAGAGCAGUAGGUUAUCUUUUAUUUUGAUUACUUCUCCCCCUACAUCAUAUGCAGAUAUGAAAACCUCUGCAUUUUAAAACUUGAAUCCCAGCUAGAGCCUUAAUUCUGUAAUUCCAAUCAUGCUUUAUUUCAUAUUCCAUUUAAGACAUACAAUACAAUAAGCAUUCAUGUGUAUACUGCAUGUGUGUGGUUUAUUCAAUUGCCUACACUUACUGCGUAAGGUCUUUUAAGUUAUUUUCUCAACCAGUCAUGUGUGCAGCGCUGCAUGCUGGUUGUGCAGAUGCUCCUCUUUUUAUUUGUGUGCAUGUGUGUUUGUCGCAGUGUGUGUGCGUGCAUAUUCUGCAUACACACAAUUGUACUGUAAUGCUCAUCUGCAACAUGUGUGCAUUGGGUUUGUGUAUGCAGUUUAAUUUAUGCCUCUUCAUGUUGCAGUACUGAUUGUAUGUUUGCAGUCCUACAAAGAACUGGGCUUUUGGCAAAGCUGGACAGCAGGCCUGUCAGUCAAUGAACUGAAGCAGCUCACUAGCUUGUAGAGACAAGCAACUUAGAUGUGAAGAGAAGAAAGAAAUACUACUGUGUCAUGUAGUGUUCAUG
Pleuronectes platessa (European plaice) is the source of this 4009-nucleotide long non-coding RNA. RefSeq lists it as uncharacterized. NCBI's taxonomy places the organism in Eukaryota, Metazoa, Chordata, Actinopteri, Pleuronectiformes, Pleuronectidae. The transcript has 3 exons. The record is from RefSeq and is a predicted model, not a curated record.